UCUGGAAACUNUCUGACUUGAGUGCAGAAGGGGAGAGUGGAAUUCCAUGUGUAGCGGUGAAAUGCGUAGAUAUAUGGAGGAACACCAGUGGCGAAAGCGGCUCUCUGGUCUGUCACUGACGCUGAGGCUCGAAAGCGUGGGUAGCGAACAGGAUUAGAUACCCUGGUAGUCCACGCCGUAAACGAUGAGUGCUAGGUGUUAGGCCCUUUCCGGGGCUUAGUGCCGGAGCUAACGCAAUAAGCACUCCGCCUGGGGAGUACGACCGCAAGGUUGAAACUCAAAGGAAUUGACGGGGGCCCGCACAAGCGGUGGAGCAUGUGGUUUAAUUCGAAGCAACGCGAAGAACCUUACCAGGUCUUGACAUCCCGAUGCUAUUCUUAGAGAUAGGAAGUUACUUCGGUACAUCGGAGACAGGCGGUGCAUGGUUGUCGUCAGCUCGUGUCGUGAGAUGUUGGGUUAAGUCCCGCAACGAGCGCAACCCUUAUUGUUAGUUGCCAUCAUUAAGUUGGGCACUCUAGCGAGACUGCCGGUAAUAAACCGGAGGAAGGUGGGGAUGACGUCAAAUCAUCAUGCCCCUUAUGACCUGGGCUACACACGUGCUACAAUGGUCGGUACAACGAGUUGCGAGCCGGUGACGGCAAGCUAAUCUCUGAAAGCCGAUCUCAGUUCGGAUUGGAGGCUGCAACUCGCCUCCAUGAAGUCGGAAUCGCUAGUAAUCGCGGAUCAGCACGCCGCGGUGAAUACGUUCCCGGGCCUUGUACACACCGCCCGUCACACCACGAGAGUUUGUAACACCCGAAGUCGGUGAGGUANCCUUUUAGGG
Molecule: ribosomal RNA, 823 nt
Filed under: uncultured bacterium
Lineage: Bacteria
Description: bacterial SSU rRNA
Rfam family: Bacterial small subunit ribosomal RNA
Source: RNAcentral